Molecule: ribosomal RNA, 248 nt
Filed under: uncultured bacterium
Lineage: Bacteria
Description: partial 16S ribosomal RNA
Rfam family: Bacterial small subunit ribosomal RNA
Source: RNAcentral
UACGAAGGGGGCUAGCGUUGUUCGGAUUUACUGGGCGUAAAGCGCACGUAGGCGGAUUGUUAAGUCGGGGGUGAAAUCCUGGAGCUCAACUCCAGAACUGCCUUCGAUACUGGCAAUCUCGAGUCCGGAAGAGGUAAGUGGAACUCCUAGUGUAGAGGUGGAAUUCGUAGAUAUUAGGAAGAACACCAGUGGCGAAGGCGGCUUACUGGUCCGGUACUGACGCUGAGGUGCGAAAGCGUGGGGAGCAA